AUACGGAGGGUGCAAGCGUUACUCGGAAUCACUGGGCGUAAAGCGCGCGCAGGCGGUCUUUUAAGUUGGAUGUGAAAGCCUACGGCUCAACCGUAGAACUGCAUCCAAAACUAUUAGACUAGAGUGUGGGAGAGGAAGAUGGAAUUAGUUGUGUAGGGGUAAAAUCCGUAGAGAUAACUAGGAAUACCAAAAGCGAAGGCAAUCUUCUGGAACACUACUGACGCUGAGGUGCGAAAGCGUGGGGAGCAAACAGGAUUAGAAACCCUAGUAGUCC
This 274-nucleotide ribosomal RNA is filed under the name uncultured bacterium. Its description in RNAcentral is "partial 16S ribosomal RNA". It matches the Rfam family "Bacterial small subunit ribosomal RNA", at positions 523 to 796 of the family's 1533-position model. The record is from RNAcentral.